AAGUCGUAACAAGGUUUCCGUAGGUGAACCUGCGGAAGGAUCAUUCACAAUAAAGUGUUUCUAGCACUUUUUAAAAAAUCUAGUACCCACCUUGUGUGCAAUGUAUUGGUCAUGUGAUUUGUCAUGUGAUUCAAUAAUACCAACCUUUAUUUUUAACGUAUGUCUGAAGAUAUUAUGAAUACUAUAAUUCAAAUAUAACUUUCAACAACGGAUCUCUUGGCUCUC
RNAcentral lists this unclassified non-coding RNA (225 nucleotides) under Mortierella sp. RNAcentral describes it as "partial internal transcribed spacer region". The stretch from base 1 to 46 matches the Rfam family "Eukaryotic small subunit ribosomal RNA", at positions 1786 to 1831 of the family's 1831-position model. Lineage: Eukaryota; Fungi; Mortierellomycota; Mortierellomycetes; Mortierellales; Mortierellaceae. The record is from RNAcentral. RNAcentral also lists the same sequence under 1 other name.